This 515-nucleotide ribosomal RNA is filed under the name Escherichia coli. Its description in RNAcentral is "partial 23S ribosomal RNA". It matches the Rfam family "Bacterial large subunit ribosomal RNA", at positions 2287 to 2801 of the family's 2925-position model. Lineage: Bacteria; Pseudomonadati; Pseudomonadota; Gammaproteobacteria; Enterobacterales; Enterobacteriaceae. The record is from RNAcentral.
CUCCUAAAGAGUAACGGAGGAGCACGAAGGUUGGCUAAUCCUGGUCGGACAUCAGGAGGUUAGUGCAAUGGCAUAAGCCAGCUUGACUGCGAGCGUGACGGCGCGAGCAGGUGCGAAAGCAGGUCAUAGUGAUCCGGUGGUUCUGAAUGGAAGGGCCAUCGCUCAACGGAUAAAAGGUACUCCGGGGAUAACAGGCUGAUACCGCCCAAGAGUUCAUAUCGACGGCGGUGUUUGGCACCUCGAUGUCGGCUCAUCACAUCCUGGGGCUGAAGUAGGUCCCAAGGGUAUGGCUGUUCGCCAUUUAAAGUGGUACGCGAGCUGGGUUUAGAACGUCGUGAGACAGUUCGGUCCCUAUCUGCCGUGGGCGCUGGAGAACUGAGGGGGGCUGCUCCUAGUACGAGAGGACCGGAGUGGACGCAUCACUGGUGUUCGGGUUGUCAUGCCAAUGGCACUGCCCGGUAGCUAAAUGCGGAAGAGAUAAGUGCUGAAAGCAUCUAAGCACGAAACUUGCCCCG